UACGUAGGGUGCGAGCGUUAAUCGGAAUUACUGGGCGUAAAGCGUGCGCAGGCGGCUUUGCAAGACAGAUGUGAAAUCCCCGGGCUCAACCUGGGAACUGCAUUUGUGACUGCAAGGCUAGAGUACGGCAGAGGGGGAUGGAAUUCCGCGUGUAGCAGUGAAAUGCGUAGAUAUGCGGAGGAACACCAAUGGCGAAGGCAAUCCCCUGGGCCUGUACUGUCGCUCAUGCACGAAAGCGUGGGGAGCAAACAGG
This 253-nucleotide ribosomal RNA is filed under the name uncultured bacterium. Its description in RNAcentral is "partial 16S ribosomal RNA". It matches the Rfam family "Bacterial small subunit ribosomal RNA", at positions 524 to 776 of the family's 1533-position model. The record is from RNAcentral.